CUCCCCACCCCCAACCCUCCAAGAUGGCGGACAGGCGGCGGCAGCGGGCCUCCCAGGACAGCGAGGACGAGUCCGACUCGGCCGCCUCCGACAGCGUCGACUCACCGGCCGGCGCGGCCCGCUCCGGCUCCCCCGCCUCGCCCCCGAGACCGGCCCGGAGCGCCGCCGGGACCCUGCCGGCCGGGGGCCGGGGCCGCGGGGCCGAGAGCGCGGCCGGGGCCGCCAAGAGCCCGCAGGAGUCCGAGUGUGAAAGUGAAGAUGGCAUCGAAGGAGAUGCUGUUCUCUCGGAUUAUGAAAGUGCAGAAGACUCCGAGGCUGAGGAAGGGGAGUACAGUGAGGAGGAAAGCUCAAAGGUGGAGCUGAAGCAGGAGAGUAACAAUGCCAGUGAAUCCACAGGAAAAGCAGAGAAAGGGGAAGAGAAACCUGACCCGAAAGGUGCUGUGACUGGCGAGAGACAAAGCGGGGAUGGGCAGGAGAGCACUGAACCAGCUGAGAAUAAAGUUGGGAAAAAGGUCCCCAAGCACUUGGAUGAUGAUGAGGAUCGGAAGAACCCUGCUUACAUACCCCGCAAAGGGCUCUUCUUUGAACAUGAUCUCCGAGGACAGGCCCAGGAGGAGGAAGUCAGGCCGAAGGGUCGCCAGCGAAAGCUAUGGAAAGACGAGGGCCGCUGGGAACAUGACAAAUUCCGGGAAGAUGAGCAAGCCCCCAAAAGCAGGCAGGAGCUGAUUGCACUCUACGGCUAUGACAUCAGGUCGGCUCACAAUCCCGACGACAUCAAGCCGAGGAGGAUGCGCAAACCACGGUUUGGGAGCCCUCCGCAGCGAGAGCCAAACUGGGCCAACGAGAGGCAAAACAAGCCUCCAAGACACCAGGACUCUGAUAGUGCUCCGCUGCCGACACGAACCUUCAUCAGCCGGCACUCCGCAGGUAUGGGUAGGAUGCCCCCAGCCAGAAACGUUCCGAGGGUGGGUGGCUACAAAGAGAACCGUCCAAGCUACAGAGCUGUGGAAGCAAACAGCCAGCACCUCUCUCGAACAGGUGAGCAGGCUAAACAUGAGAGCAGUUACCGGGCGAGGCGUGUUGAACAAGCCCCGGAGAGAGACCCCUCUCCUGAAGCAGAGAGUGUGCAUGUUCACAGCAGUCCUGCCAAGAAGGAAGAGAUCAUUUUGGAAAGCCAGACCCCAAGUACAGACUCUGUACAGCCGCCACCAGAUAGACCCAUCGAAAAGAAAUCCUAUUCCCGGGCCAGGAGGACCAGGAAUAAAGCUGGCGAUGCAGGAAAGCUGGCAGAUGAAGUUCCGCCUCCAGAGGGAUUGACACCUGUGCCUCCGAAACCAGUGCAGGUCGUGACGCCCCCUCCGCCUGCGAAGGCCGGUAGUUGGGAGACACCAGUAGAAUCCAGCAUGGAUGGACUCGAGCAAGACAUGACUCAGUUGAAUCUAACCGAGCAGUCCUGGACCCAAGGACAGCCUCCGUUCAUACCGCCUCGGGAACUUCGGGGUAUUCCUAAUCAUAUGCACAUGGGAGCUGGACCACCACCUCCGUUUAACAGGAUGGAGGAAAUGGGAGUACAGGGGGGCCGUGCAAAACGUUACUCAUCCCAGCGUCAGCGGCCACCAGUUCCAGAGCCUGCUCCCCCCAUGCACAUCAGCAUCAUGGAAGGGCACUAUUAUGAUCCAUUGCAAUUCCAGGGACCAAUCUACACACACAGCGAGAAUCCUGCCCCGUUGCCACCCCAGGGUAUGAUUGUACAGCCAGAAAUGCACCUCCCACAUCCAGGUUUACAUCCACACCAGACACCAGCACCUUUGGCUAACCCUGGCUUAUAUCCUCCACCAGUCUCCAUGCCUCCUGGGCAACCGCCCCCACAGCAGCUGCUCGCACCCACCUAUUUCUCCCCUCCCGGAGUCAUGAAUUUUGGGAAUCCCAGUUACCCCUAUCCCCCAGGAGCACUCCCACCACCACCACCUCCCCAUCUGUAUCCCAGCUCACAGAUGCAGGCCCAGGCCCAGGUGUAUGGAGGGGUCACCUACUACAACACUGUCCAGCAGCAAGUACAGCCGAAACCUUCUCCUCCACGAAGAACAUCCCAGCCCGUGACUAUCAAGCCGCCGCCUCCUGAGGACAGCACAAGUGAAAAAUCGAAGGAAAGGAGCAAUACGUAGGGACACCCACCUCAGAAGUUCCAGCCCCGGAAUCGGCACCGCCAGCAAGCAGGAAGCUCUGACUCAAGAGACGUCCCCUUCUCCGUGCUUAGCACCUGUGGUCCAAAGCUUUCCUGGCACUGACGCUUGCGAGCCAGCUGUGGCGAGGGGACGUGACUUGCCCAGGAGUCCUGGCCACUCGACCCUGCUGCUCACGGGGCUGGGAUCUUGCUUCGGCUUGUGGGGCCGACAGCUGGUAAACCAGGUGAAACUGCCCCUUCGCUGUAGGCAGCUGGGUGUGAGUGGGCCGAGCUGCUUACUGGCUGUGACCUCCCGGCUGGGGCCAGUCCCACGCAGCAGAGCCCUGCUGCGUGCACAAGUGGCUCCGAGCUCGAUACUGCAGAGGGCGAUGUGGGAAACCCCCUGGAGCACGGCUCUUCGAGGAUUCAGCCAGCAGCUUCCCCUGGGGACUGCUGCGCCUCCCUGAGUGAAACUGGUUUUGCAGGGCACCUCUGUGAGGGGCAUCAGGGUAGCAGCCAGGGGCCUUGGGUGAGGCUGUACAGGCAGACCCUUCCCAAGAGAGCUUACAGCCUAAAUACAUGAGGGGCAAGAGGGGAAACUGAGGCAGAGAGGGGCAAAGCUGGAAUUGGACUGGGUGGGGAGUGGGGUUUGGUGGACAGAGCAGGACUCAACUCUCCUGGGUUCUGUCUUCCCAGCUUUGGGAGAGGGGUAUGAGGAGGGGCUUAGAAAGUGAAGCCUCCUGGUCUGUGAUCUGUUUCUGCCAUGGACUUGCUGUGUGACUGUAUGGUGCCCCCUGCCUCAGUUUCCCCAUCUCUUCAGCGAAUUGUUGAUAGAUUGUCAGUGCUCUGCAGCAGGGCCAUCUUUCUGUCCUGGAUUUCUACAGCACCUGGUGUGGGGCUCAUGACUGGGGCUCCUAGGUGCUAUCAUAACAGACCUAAUAAAUAAUGUACACUGCCUGCCAUGGCGGGGGGUCCUGGGCUGUGACUGGGGAUCCUAGCUCCGGCUUGAAGCCCGUGGAGGAGCUGUAUUUUUUCCACACAGGCUGAUCUUGUUCUCUGAAACGGGAGGGUAAAAUUCCCUUUUCACUCCCAGCACUGCGGCGUGAAAACCAGUUAAAAUUCUCGCUCAAACAGAACAUUUCCCUGUCUUGAAUGCUUGUAAUUUUCCCUCCCCCGCACGGUCUGUUGUGAACGGUGCCACGGAAGCUUCACACUCCGCUCCCCGCCGGCUGCUUUUCAUUGCUUGAGAAAAUUGAACGUUUCAUGCCCGGUUUGGGGGGCAGAUCCAGUUCCUGGCUCGGUAGGAGAGUUAGCAGCAGCCAAUAAAUCCAUUUGCAAAAGCCCCCAUCCCAGCAAUGCUUUGUCAGGGCAGGUGUGUUUCCUGUGAGAGAGGGGUAUGGGGGGUGGGGCGGGGCUCCUGGCUUUGGGUCCCAGCUCUGUGCCCAUAUCCCCUCCCUCUGUCUUGGCUGCUCAGGUGGACAAGGACUCUGUCCCCUCGCGAGACGCCCGCGCAGUGGGGCUGGAAUAUCGGGUGCGCUCGUUCCCUGGGACAGUUAUGGGAGCUGAACAGGGUGGGUCUCUGCCCUGCUCCUAGUGGGCAGGUGCAUCCAUCAAAGUCCUGGGCCUAGAGCUCCUGGGUCCUCCCCAGCAGCUGCUGGCACCAGCCUGUGCCCUCUGUGCCCACUCUCUGUCCCACCAGGUGCUUGGGGCCCAGCCUGCACCCUCCCCUCUGAACACGAAGCCGGGCACUGUCUCAGCUGCACCCGGCUGGCAGCUCUUCUCCAACUCCCCGGCACCAUCUGCGUGGCAGGCAGCUCUCGACUCCCAUCUGCGGCUCAGCUGCCCCAGCUCCUGGAGUCAAGUGGGUCUGUGCCGAUCUCAGCCUUCCUUCUGACAGAGCCAGUAAGUCCCCAGCCCUCCUGGCUGUGGAAAAAGCUGCACAUGGGGACCCCAGAGCACCCUAAAAGCUCAACAAGCAGAAGGCAAAUAAAGAGCCCCCCAAAGCUGUUACUUUUA
RNA transcript from Caretta caretta (loggerhead turtle), 4180 nucleotides. It is a transcript of the gene named CASC3 exon junction complex subunit, with no coding region annotated. The record is from RefSeq and is a predicted model, not a curated record. NCBI's taxonomy places the organism in Eukaryota, Metazoa, Chordata, Testudines, Cheloniidae.